Schistosoma mansoni is the source of this 48-nucleotide non-coding RNA. NCBI's taxonomy places the organism in Eukaryota, Metazoa, Platyhelminthes, Trematoda, Strigeidida, Schistosomatidae. The record is from Rfam.
AUCCAGCUGACGAGUCCCAAAUAGGACGAAACACGCGUCAAACUUGAU